CCUGCCGCGCGAGAAGUCGCAGCCAUUCUUGCAAAUCUGUGCUCUGGACUGGAUCUGCCGCCUACUUCUAGCGCCAGCGACGCCGAUGUGAUUUCAGUGCCUGUGCCCGGCUCGACUCCUUCGAAUUCUACCGCUUCCUUGUCAGGGAAAGAUUCCGCUGGUGAUCUCCAGAACGAGAGCGAGGCAAGAAUCCAGGCGCCAGAGAAUGGAGGUCCGGAAGAUGAGCUUGAAACCAGAGACGAUGACGAGCAAGGUCGGUUUUAGAUUUG
Molecule: long non-coding RNA, 269 nt
Organism: Selaginella moellendorffii
Lineage: Eukaryota; Viridiplantae; Streptophyta; Lycopodiopsida; Selaginellales; Selaginellaceae
Exons: 3
Source: RefSeq, a predicted model, not a curated record